RNAcentral lists this ribosomal RNA (253 nucleotides) under uncultured bacterium. RNAcentral's name for it is "partial 16S ribosomal RNA". It matches the Rfam family "Bacterial small subunit ribosomal RNA", at positions 524 to 776 of the family's 1533-position model. The record is from RNAcentral.
UACGAAGGGUGCAAGCGUUAAUCGGAAUUACUGGGCGUAAAGCGUGCGUAGGCGGUUUGUUAAGUCUGUUGUGAAAUCCCCGGGCUCAACCUGGGAAUGGCAAUGGAUACUGGCAAGCUAGAGUGUGUCAGAGGAUGGUGGAAUUCCCGGUGUAGCGGUGAAAUGCGUAGAGAUCGGGAGGAACAUCAGUGGCGAAGGCGGCCAUCUGGGACAACACUGACGCUGAGGCACGAAAGCGUGGGGAUCAAACAGG